GAUUUUAGAAAGAGCCGAACACGAUCGAGGAGGGGAGGCACGCCUGCCAUCGAUCCAUCCAUCCCAGCCUGGCCGCCGGGCGAGCGACGCCGCUGGCUAGCUCGAUUCGAUCUGGCGCGGCGCGGCGACAGCUAGCAGCUAGCUCGUUACCUAGCGCGGCCGCGUCCGCAGCGCCGGGCGCCAUCAACCCGUCGCUCGAUCGUGCCCUUGUUAUGCGCUAGAUCGAUGCAACCAACCACCUCAGCCUGACAACCACCCCUCUCGCGCGCGGCGGGAUUGGAGUAGGAAAAUCCUAGCCAGCCAGCCAGCCAGCCAGCCAGCCGCGGAAUGUUCCGGCGCUGCACGUUCUCCGCUCGUCGCUGCCAUACCGCGGGCCCAACACGUGCGUGCCCGGCUACCUCCCCCAACCCCUCGGCCUAUAUAUCCGGCUUCCCAACACCCGUCUCUCCCCACCUCUCCCAUCUCCCCCAUCGAUCUCGCAAAAGAACGCCAGCGUCCGUGCCGCGUGCGGUGGCCGCGGCGGCGGUGUGCGUUGAAGGGGCGCGGCGCGGCUGCUUAGCUCGGCAAGGACCGGUACGGGCGCUGGGCGGUGACAGAAGAGAGUGAGCACACGGCCGGUCGUUACGGCACCGCCCGGGUGUGCCGUCGCGGCCGCGUGCUCACUGCUCUUCCUGUCAUCCACUCUCCCGCUUCCCUUCCGGCCUUCGCCGUGGCUGGCUGCACGCGCUAGCACACCGCCGCCGCGUCCACAGCAGAGGCCGGCUGGCCGGCCGGCCGGCCGUCGUUUUUGCGUCAUCGUAUGCCGUACAGACUAACCCGCAAUUUUGUGUUCAUGCCGCUCUCUGCAAGUUUCCAUUUCUGGGAGGCUAGAGCGUACGGCGCCGCGCGCGUGGGUACGCUUUCGCGCACGGAUUCCCUCCCUUUUCUCUCGGUACGAUACGAAGAUGCUCCCUUUUGCUUUGAUAAAUUCUCUCAUCUUUUCCAAGGGAUUUUACCGUUAACCGCUGCUCCUCGCUCCGGCCUUGGGAAGGGAAAAAGGCAUUUACUGCGGCGCCGCUGAUUGAUUCAGCUAUAGCUGGUUCCAAGAAUCUGGAUCUUGGAGCAACCAAGAUCAACCUACUGAGUAGGCCGGAGAUGGACGAUCUAGAGGCAAAUGUGCGCAUGGAUCGAUAGCUCAGAUCUGCUUACCACUUGACUCUUUUCUUGCCAGGUUUAACCCUGGUCUGCGUUAUUCUAGUGUGACUAGGAGACACGGUAAGGGGUGUGUGUUUAUUGUGCCGGCCAGCCCGGCCUGUGUAGUGGCGUUCUGUUUAUACGUCUUUUUUUCUCUAAAGAAUAUCUGAUAUACUAGCACUCAUGCACACAGGACAACAUGCAAAUUAAGAGCUUCUUUGAUUUGUAAGAUUCUAAAAGCAUGGGAAUAGAAAAAACAUAUGAUUGAAUUGAAAUGGUCAUCUCAAUUCUACAAUAUUUUAGGCUUUUUGAUUGCAUUAUAUAGAACAGACAAAUGAUUCGUUCAAAAAGGUUUGAGCGGAUGCUAGAAAUCCUUUGGGAAGUAAACAUAAAUCCAUCCAAAAAGUUCUAUAGAAUUCAAUCCUAUGAAUCAAACAACCAACAUAGAAAAAUAUUCCAAAAGAACUCUAGUCCUUCAAAAUUUCUAUGAAAAUUCUUUGAAUCAACCGAGCCUAAUUGGUAAUCCCUGUAUAGGGACCACCAGUACGUAUAGUAGAGCUUGGGUAGUGGAGGAGUUAUGGACCUCUUAGAGUGAAUAAUCUCAUAGGUUAGUAUCAUAUAUACGACAUUAAUGUAUGUUAUAGUAGUUUAUGAUACUUACUCUUAAUUAUAUAUUACCUUCGUCCAGAAAAAGCUUGUCUUACAUUUAUUAAGAUAUGGAAGUAUCAAAUAAUAAAAUGUCGAAAACACUAACGCCCACACGUGUGGGCAUCUGGCAACUCGCCCACAUGCAUGGAUCCUCAUCCAACUAAUUCUACAUGAAUCUUGGUGCGUUCUAGCAGUUUUUGUGUGCCAUGUAGGGCUAAGCUAGUGUGUGGGCAUUCAUCCGGUCGCUCACACGUUCUUUUUCACCACACGGGGGGUUGGUGUGUGGGCGUUUAGCAAUUCGCUCACACACCAGUUUUCACGCACGUAGAGGGGCUGGUGUGUGGAUGUUUAGCAAUUCGUCCACACGCCUGUCUCCUCGCCUACACCCAAAGUUGGCAGUUGCCAUGUGUUUCUGUAGGGUACAUGGCAACUGCCCUAGCGUGCACGUAAGCAGAUGGCAACUUUUUCUCUUUACAAGGCAACUGCCCUAGCGUGCUUGUGAGCACAUGGCAACUCUCUCUUUUACCCGAACAUGUUUUUUGCCAUGCCUUUUUGUAGUGCUACAUGGUAACUGCCUAGUAUUAGUGGGUGGACACUUCUAAAGUUUUGAAAUCAUGGCAACUGCAGUAGACCAGACCAUAUAUAACAACUGUAGUUGUCCGACAUGGCAACGAAGUUCAGCAACAUGGCAACUGCAGUUAAACGAACAUUGACGAGGGUCUGGACCAUGGCAACUGCGGGGUGCGCGGUGACUGUCACGCGGGGCGUGCGGGACCACGAGGUAUGAGGCCUGACGUAUGGGGCGUGUGGGAGUUAUCUAUUUCGUCCACACGCACGCGUGUGAGAGGGACUGAGAGGGAAAAAAGGUGUGUGUGCAUUACUUGUUUUGCCCACACGUAGGUGUGUGCGCUGUUUCUCUUAUACACCACACAAAAUAUGUAGGCAGACACUCUAACGCCCACAUGUGUGGCACUUAUCAGCGUCCUAAAAUGUUUCUAGACACAUCCGUAUCUAGACAAAUUUAAAAAAAAACUAUUUUGGGACGGAGGGAGUAGUAUUAUAUUGGUUGUAUUUUAGGGCAUGCAUGGCUAAUAAUAAACCGGCCACUGGCUUUAUCUCAUUGCAUUGCAUAUCAUUUGUAGUCAAUCUAAUUUCACUGAUAUCUAUAUCUAUAACACUAUAUAGUGUAUGAAUAACUUUGAAUGUCAGCUGGAUGAAACUAGUUCAACUGUAGAGAUGUGUCAAAUUAGAGCGUUGUUGGUCAUUCGAUAACCUCUUCACUCUACCUGACUGCCACAUGUACUAUCUACAAGAUUCCGUGGUUGAUGAACAAACUUAUAGAAAAAACAAGCACUUCUUUGUUUUGGAAUGUUCUAUAUUUUAAUUCUUCAAUUUUUCCUUCUAAACAAAUUACAAUGUACAAACUUCAAAUCAUAAACACUUCUCUUUGUUCUAGACCCUUCUAUGCAUUUUCUUUUUAAAAAAUUGCCAUUAAAUUUUAGUUUAUGAUUUUUUUAUGUCAUGCCUAUAACAGCGGUAUAUAUAUAUUUCCUACAAGCAGUGGUAGUUACCACCACUUGCGUUUUGUAUGUUGUAUGUAGUAUCUGACGAA
Triticum dicoccoides is the source of this 3433-nucleotide long non-coding RNA. RefSeq lists it as uncharacterized. The record is from RefSeq and is a predicted model, not a curated record. The transcript has 3 exons. Lineage: Eukaryota; Viridiplantae; Streptophyta; Magnoliopsida; Poales; Poaceae.